RNAcentral lists this ribosomal RNA (477 nucleotides) under uncultured bacterium. Its description in RNAcentral is "partial 16S ribosomal RNA". It matches the Rfam family "Bacterial small subunit ribosomal RNA", at positions 28 to 523 of the family's 1533-position model. The record is from RNAcentral.
GACGAACGCUGGCGGCGUGCUUAACACAUGCAAGUCGAACGGUAAGGCCCUUCGGGGUACACGAGUGGCGAACGGGUGAGUAACACGUGGGUGAUCUGCCCUGCACUUCGGGAUAAGCCUGGGAAACUGGGUCUAAUACCGGAUAGGACCACUGCCUGCAUGGGUGGUGGUGGAAAGCUUUUGCGGUGUGGGAUGGGCCCGCGGCCUAUCAGCUUGUUGGUGGGGUGAUGGCCUACCAAGGCGACGACGGGUAGCCGGCCUGAGAGGGUGACCGGCCACACUGGGACUGAGAUACGGCCCAGACUCCUACGGGAGGCAGCAGUGGGGAAUAUUGCACAAUGGGCGCAAGCCUGAUGCAGCGACGCCGCGUGUGGAUGACGGCCUUCGGGUUGUAAACCUCUUUCAGCAUCGACGAAGCGAAAGUGACGGUAGGUGCAGAAGAAGGACCGGCCAACUACGUGCCAGCCGCCGCUGUAA